This 253-nucleotide ribosomal RNA is filed under the name uncultured prokaryote. RNAcentral describes it as "partial 16S ribosomal RNA". It matches the Rfam family "Bacterial small subunit ribosomal RNA", at positions 524 to 776 of the family's 1533-position model. The record is from RNAcentral.
UACAGAGGUCCCAAGCGUUGUUCGGAUUCACUGGGCGUAAAGGGUGCGUAGGUGGUCGGGUAAGUCUGAUGUGAAAUCUCGGAGCUUAACUCCGAAACUGCAUUGGAUACUAUUCGGCUGGAGGGUUGGAGGGGGGACUGGAAUUCUCGGUGUAGCAGUGAAAUGCGUAGAGAUGCGGAGGAACACCGAUGGCGAAGGCAACCCCCUGGGCUGACACUGACGCUCAGGCACGAAAGCGUGGGGAGCAAACAGG